Small nucleolar RNA from Cavia porcellus (domestic guinea pig), 132 nucleotides. Ensembl annotates it as small nucleolar RNA SNORA61. The record is from Ensembl. NCBI's taxonomy places the organism in Eukaryota, Metazoa, Chordata, Mammalia, Rodentia, Caviidae.
ACCCUCCAGUUCUUUUUCCCAUUGAAUCUAAACACUGGGCUUGGUGGUUGUAAAGGAUGAAAAGGAAUGCUGAAACUGGCCUCACAGCCUUUAUAGCCUGGUAUAUUGCAUGUGGGCUAGUUUCAAAAGGGU